This 412-nucleotide ribosomal RNA is filed under the name uncultured soil bacterium. RNAcentral's name for it is "bacterial SSU rRNA". It matches the Rfam family "Bacterial small subunit ribosomal RNA", at positions 258 to 688 of the family's 1533-position model. The record is from RNAcentral.
UAAAAGCUUACCAAGGCCACGAUCGGUAGCUGGUGUGAGAGGACGAUCAGCCACACUGGGAUUGAGAACGGCCCAGACUACUACGGGGGGCAGCAGUGAGGAAUUUUCGUCAAUGGGGGCAACCCUGAACGAGCAACGCUGCGUGCAGGAUGAAGGUUUUCGGAUCGUAAACUGCUUUUCUUUGGGAAGAGAACGGACGGUACCAGAGGAAGAAGCCCCGGCUAACUACGUGCCAGCAGCCGCGGUAAUACGUAGGGCGCAAGCGUUGUCCGGAAUUAUUGGGCGUAAAGAGCUCGUAGGCGGACUGUUGCGUCUGCUGUGAAAAGAAGGGAUUAACCCUGGCCUUGCAGUGGAUACGGGCAGACUAGAGGUAGGUAGGGGAGAAUGGAAUUCCCGGUGUAGCGGUGAAAUG